Molecule: ribosomal RNA, 277 nt
Filed under: Priestia megaterium
Lineage: Bacteria; Bacillati; Bacillota; Bacilli; Caryophanales; Bacillaceae
Description: Bacillus megaterium partial 16S ribosomal RNA
Rfam family: Bacterial small subunit ribosomal RNA
Source: RNAcentral
UAAGCCAAUCCCAUAAAACCAUUCUCAGUUCGGAUUGUAGGCUGCAACUCGCCUACAUGAAGCUGGAAUCGCUAGUAAUCGCGGAUCAGCAUGCCGCGGUGAAUACGUUCCCGGGCCUUGUACACACCGCCCGUCACACCACGAGAGUUUGUAACACCCGAAGUCGGUGGGGUAACCGUAAGGAGCCAGCCGCCUAAGGUGGGACAGAUGAUUGGGGUGAAGUCGUAACAAGGUAGCCGUAUCGGAAGGUGCGGCUGGAUCACCUCCUUUCUAAGGA